RNAcentral lists this ribosomal RNA (448 nucleotides) under uncultured bacterium. RNAcentral's name for it is "bacterial SSU rRNA". It matches the Rfam family "Bacterial small subunit ribosomal RNA", at positions 328 to 793 of the family's 1533-position model. The record is from RNAcentral.
CUUCCAGACUCCUACGGGAGGCAGCAGUGGGGAAUAUUGCACAAUGGGGGAAACCCUGAUGCAGCAACGCCGCGUGAGUGAAGAAGUAUUUCGGUAUGUAAAGCUCUAUCAGCAGGGAAGAAAAUGACGGUACCUGAGUAAGAAGCCCCGGCUAACUACGUGCCAGCAGCCGCGGUAAUACGUAGGGGGCAAGCGUUAUCCGGAUUUACUGGGUGUAAAGGGAGCGUAGACGGCGAUACAAGUCUGAAGUGAAAGCCCGGGGCUCAACCCCGGGACUGCUUUGGAAACUGUGUUGCUGGAGUGCUGGAGAGGCAAGCGGAAUUUCUAGUGUAGCGGUGAAAUGCGUAGAUAUUAGGAGGAACACCAGUGGCGAAGGCGGCCUGCUGGACAGUAACUGACGUUGAGGCUCGAAAGCGUGGGGAGCAAACAGGAUUAGAUACCCUCGUAC